CGGGGCGUGGCUCAGUUUGGCUAGAGCACUUGAAUGGGGUUCAAGGGGUCGACGGUUCGAGUCCGUCCGCCCCGACCA
This 78-nucleotide transfer RNA is filed under the name Candidatus Ghiorseimicrobium undicola. RNAcentral's name for it is "Candidatus Omnitrophica bacterium CG11_big_fil_rev_8_21_14_0_20_42_13 tRNA-Pro". It matches the Rfam family "tRNA". Rfam says of the family: Transfer RNA (tRNA) molecules are approximately 80 nucleotides in length. Their secondary structure includes four short double-helical elements and three loops (D, anti-codon, and T loops). RNAcentral also lists the same sequence under 1 other name. The record is from RNAcentral. Lineage: Bacteria; Pseudomonadati; Candidatus Omnitrophota.